AAUGGGUGAGAGCCUGAUCCAGCCAUCCCGCGUGCAGGAAGACGGCCUUAUGGGUUGUAAACUGCUUUUAUACUAGAAUAAACCACCUUACGAGUAGGGUGUUGAAGGUACAGUAUGAAUAAGCACCGGCUAACUCCGUGCCAGCAGCCGCGGUAAUACGGAGGGUGCAAGCGUUAUCCGGAUUUAUUGGGUUUAAAGGGUCCGCAGGCGGACUUAUAAGUCAGGGGUGAAAUCCGGCAGCUUAACUGUCGAACUGCCUUUGAAACUGUAGGUCUUGAGUAAGAAUGAAGCAGCUGGAAUGUGUGGUGUAGCGGUGAAAUGCAUAGAUAUCACACAGAACACCGAUAGCGAAGGCAGGUUGCUAAUUCUCAACUGACGCUGAGGGACGAAAGCGUGGGGAGCGAA
This 405-nucleotide ribosomal RNA is filed under the name uncultured bacterium. RNAcentral describes it as "bacterial SSU rRNA". It matches the Rfam family "Bacterial small subunit ribosomal RNA", at positions 370 to 772 of the family's 1533-position model. The record is from RNAcentral.